This 333-nucleotide ribosomal RNA is filed under the name uncultured bacterium. RNAcentral describes it as "partial 16S ribosomal RNA". It matches the Rfam family "Bacterial small subunit ribosomal RNA", at positions 338 to 668 of the family's 1533-position model. The record is from RNAcentral.
CCUACGGGGGGCAGCAGUGAGGAAUAUUGGUCAAUGGGCGGAAGCCUGAACCAGCCAAGUAGCGUGCAGGAUGACGGCCCUACGGGUUGUAAACUGCUUUUAUACGGGAAUAACGCGCCUUACGUGUAGGGCUUUGCAUGUACCGUAUGAAUAAGGACCGGCUAAUUCCGUGCCAGCGGCCGCGGUAAUACGGAAGGUCCGGGGGUUAUCCGGAUUUAUUGGGUUUAAGGGGAGCGAAGGCCGCAUGUCAGGAGGGCGGUGAAAUGUCCGGGCUCAACCCGGGCCUUGCCGGGAGAACGGGCGGGCUUGAGUCCGCGGAAGGAAGGCGGAAGU